RNAcentral lists this small RNA (1669 nucleotides) under Pongo abelii (Sumatran orangutan). RNAcentral describes it as "processed transcript". The record is from RNAcentral. Lineage: Eukaryota; Metazoa; Chordata; Mammalia; Primates; Hominidae.
GCUGCUAUGGGUCGGUCCUCUGAAGAGGCUGGGGCGUCAUCGGGGCCGGUUAGAAGCUCUGCUCCCCGGCGGGGACACUCAGUCGCGUCGGCACCGCGGAGCGGGCUGCGUCAGGUGGCUGGCCGGCGCGGCGCUCCCCUGCUCUCUGGCUCCGGACUGCGGCGCGGCGGCUGGAGCGAGCCCCUGUCCCGGCGCGGGGCGGCGGCGGGCGGCCGGCAGGCGCUGCCUUGCGUGUGAGUGCACCUCACUCACAUGUGCUGGAGAAUCUGGUAAAAGCACCAUUGUGAAGCAGAUGAGGAUCCUGCAUGUUAAUGGGUUUAAUGGAGAGGGCGGCGAAGAGGACCCGCAGGCUGCAAGGAGCAACAGCGAUGGUGAGAAGGCAACCAAAGUGCAGGACAUCAAAAACAACCUGAAAGAGGCGAUUGAAACCAUUGUGGCCGCCAUGAGCAACCUGGUGCCCCCCGUGGAGCUGGCCAACCCCGAGAACCAGUUCAGAGUGGACUACAUUCUGAGUGUGAUGAACGUGCCUGACUUUGACUUCCCUCCCGAAUUCUAUGAGCACGCCAAGGCUCUGUGGGAGGAUGAAGGAGUGCGUGCCUGCUACGAACGCUCCAACGAGUACCAGCUGAUUGACUGUGCCCAGUACUUCCUGGACAAGAUCGAUGUGAUCAAGCAGGCUGACUAUGUGCCGAGCGAUCAGGACCUGCUUCGCUGCCGCGUCCUGACUUCUGGAAUCUUUGAGACCAAGUUCCAGGUGGACAAAGUCAACUUCCACAUGUUUGACGUGGGUGGCCAGCGCGACGAACGCCGCAAGUGGAUCCAGUGCUUCAACGAUGUGACUGCCAUCAUCUUCGUGGUGGCCAGCAGCAGCUACAACAUGGUCAUCCGGGAGGACAACCAGACCAACCGCCUGCAGGAGGCUCUGAACCUCUUCAAGAGCAUCUGGAACAACAGAUGGCUGCGCACCAUCUCUGUGAUUCUGUUCCUCAACAAGCAAGAUCUGCUCGCUGAGAAAGUCCUUGCUGGGAAAUCGAAGAUUGAGGACUACUUUCCAGAAUUUGCUCGCUACACUACUCCUGAGGAUGCUACUCCCGAGCCCGGAGAGGACCCACGCGUGACCCGGGCCAAGUACUUCAUUCGAGAUGAGUUUCUGAGGAUCAGCACUGCCAGUGGAGAUGGGCGUCACUACUGCUACCCUCAUUUCACCUGCGCUGUGGACACUGAGAACAUCCGCCGUGUGUUCAACGACUGCCGUGACAUCAUUCAGCGCAUGCACCUUCGUCAGUAUGAGCUGCUCUAAGAAGGGAACCCCCAAAUUUAAUUAAAGCCUUAAGCACAAUUAAUUAAAAGUGAAACGUAAUUGUACAAGCAGUUAAUCACCCACCAUAGGGCAUGAUUAACAAAGCAACCUUUCCCUUCCCCCGAGUGAUUUUGCGAAACCCCCUUUUCCCUUCAGCUUGCUUAGAUGUUCCAAAUUUAGAAAGCUUAAGGCGGCCUACAGAAAAAGGAAAAAAGGCCACAAAAGUUCCCUCUCACUUUCAGUAAAAAUAAAUAAAAUAACAGCAGCAAACAAACAGAAAUAAAAUGAAAUAAAAGAAACAAAUGAAAUAAAUAUUGUGUUGUGCAGCAUUAAAAAAAAUCAAAAUAAAAAUUAAAUGUGAGCAAAGAA